Etheostoma spectabile (orangethroat darter) is the source of this 117-nucleotide long non-coding RNA. RefSeq lists it as uncharacterized. Lineage: Eukaryota; Metazoa; Chordata; Actinopteri; Perciformes; Percidae. The record is from RefSeq and is a predicted model, not a curated record. The transcript is spliced from 2 exons.
GCCGUUUUCUGCUGAUAUUUUCUGUAAACUAACUAAAAAAAAUCUCUGUGUCUAUCAUGAUGUGUCGCAGCCUUUCGCGAUGUGUAUAUUGCGGCAGUUGAUAUUGCGAUGACGAUU